CAGAAAUCACUCAAAUGGCCCUGAUUAAAAGUUUAAAUACCCUUAAAUGUUUGGCCUUGUUACAGACACACAAGGUUACACACAGAGGUUAAAAUGUCAAUUAAAGGUUCAUUUCUCACAGCUGUUGGUUUUUAAAUUGCAAUUUGUGUCUGUGUAUAAAUAGUCAAUGAGUUUGUUAGCGCUCACAUGGAUGCACUGAGCAGG
Pelobates cultripes (western spadefoot toad) is the source of this 204-nucleotide non-coding RNA. NCBI's taxonomy places the organism in Eukaryota, Metazoa, Chordata, Amphibia, Anura, Pelobatidae. The record is from the annotation of a GenBank genome assembly.